RNAcentral lists this ribosomal RNA (498 nucleotides) under uncultured bacterium. RNAcentral's name for it is "bacterial SSU rRNA". It matches the Rfam family "Bacterial small subunit ribosomal RNA", at positions 28 to 517 of the family's 1533-position model. The record is from RNAcentral.
GACGAACGCUGGCGGCGUGGAUUAGGCAUGCAAGUCGAACGGUAGGAUACCUUCGGGUAUCUGAGAGUGGCGAACGGGUGAGUAACACGUAGGUGAUCUACCCUCAAGAUUGGGACAACCCAGGGAAACUUGGGCUAAUACCGGAUGAAAGCAGCAGUGAUGUUGUUUGAAAGGUGGCGUAAGCUGCCGUUUGGGGAUGAGCCUGCGCUCUAUUAGUUAGUUGGCGGGGUAAAGGCCCACCAAGGCGAUGAUAGAUAGGCGGCCUUAACGGGUGGUCGCCCACACUGGGAUUGAGAUACGGCCCAGACUCCUACGGGAGGCAGCAGUCGAGAAUAGUCUACAAUGGCCGAAAGGCUGAUAGUGCGACGCCGCGUGAACGAAGAAGCCCUUCGGGGUGUAAAGUUCUUUUAUAUGUGAGCAGUGCUUUCUACGUGAACAGCAUGGGGAGAGAGAUAUUAGCAUAUGAAUAAGCAACGGCUAACUCCGUGCCAGCAGCCG